RNAcentral lists this ribosomal RNA (878 nucleotides) under Psychrobacter sp. K2-28L-043. RNAcentral describes it as "bacterial SSU rRNA". It matches the Rfam family "Bacterial small subunit ribosomal RNA", at positions 45 to 914 of the family's 1533-position model. The record is from RNAcentral. Lineage: Bacteria; Pseudomonadati; Pseudomonadota; Gammaproteobacteria; Moraxellales; Moraxellaceae.
GGCUUAACACAUGCAAGUCGAGCGGAAACGAUGAUAGCUUGCUAUCAGGCGUCGAGCGGCGGACGGGUGAGUAAUACUUAGGAAUCUACCUAGUAGUGGGGGAUAGCUCGGGGAAACUCGAAUUAAUACCGCAUACGUCCUACGGGAGAAAGCAGGGGAUCUUUGGACCUUGCGCUAUUAGAUGAGCCUAAGUCGGAUUAGCUAGAUGGUGGGGUAAAGGCCUACCAUGGCGACGAUCUGUAGCUGGUCUGAGAGGAUGAUCAGCCACACCGGGACUGAGACACGGCCCGGACUCCUACGGGAGGCAGCAGUGGGGAAUAUUGGACAAUGGGGGGAACCCUGAUCCAGCCAUGCCGCGUGUGUGAAGAAGGCCUUUUGGUUGUAAAGCACUUUAAGCAGUGAAGAAGACUCUUCGGUUAAUACCCGGGGACGAUGACAUUAGCUGCAGAAUAAGCACCGGCUAACUCUGUGCCAGCAGCCGCGGUAAUACAGAGGGUGCAAGCGUUAAUCGGAAUUACUGGGCGUAAAGCGAGCGUAGGUGGCUUGAUAAGUCAGAUGUGAAAUCCCCGGGCUUAACCUGGGAACUGCAUCUGAAACUGUUAGGCUAGAGUAGGUGAGAGGGAAGUAGAAUUUCAGGUGUAGCGGUGAAAUGCGUAGAGAUCUGAAGGAAUACCGAUGGCGAAGGCAGCUUCCUGGCAUCAUACUGACACUGAGGCUCGAAAGCGUGGGUAGCAAACAGGAUUAGAUACCCUGGUAGUCCACGCCGUAAACGAUGUCUACUAGUCGUUGGGUCCCUUGAGGACUUAGUGACGCAGCUAACGCAAUAAGUAGACCGCCUGGGGAGUACGGCCGCAAGGUUAAAACUCAAAUGAAUUGAC